UUGAACGCUGGCGGCAUGCCUUACACAUGCAAGUCGAACGGUAACAGGUCUUCGGAUGCUGACGAGUGGCGAACGGGUGAGUAAUACAUCGGAACGUGCCCAGACGUGGGGGAUAACGAGGCGAAAGCUUUGCUAAUACCGCAUACGAUCUAAGGAUGAAAGCAGGGGACCGCAAGGCCUUGUGCGUUUGGAGCGGCCGAUGGCAGAUUAGGUAGUUGGUGGGAUAAAAGCUUACCAAGCCGACGAUCUGUAGCUGGUCUGAGAGGACGACCAGCCACACUGGGACUGAGACACGGCCCAGACUCCUACGGGAGGCAGCAGUGGGGAAUUUUGGACAAUGGGCGAAAGCCUGAUCCAACAAUGCCGCGUGCAGGAUGAAGGCCUUCGGGUUGUAAACUGCUUUUGUACGGAACGAAAAGGCUCUGGCUAAUACCUGGGGCACAUGACGGUACCGUAAGAAUAAGCACCGGCUAACUACGUG
Molecule: ribosomal RNA, 481 nt
Filed under: uncultured bacterium
Lineage: Bacteria
Description: partial 16S ribosomal RNA
Rfam family: Bacterial small subunit ribosomal RNA
Source: RNAcentral